This 396-nucleotide ribosomal RNA is filed under the name uncultured bacterium. RNAcentral's name for it is "partial 16S ribosomal RNA". It matches the Rfam family "Bacterial small subunit ribosomal RNA", at positions 523 to 918 of the family's 1533-position model. The record is from RNAcentral.
AUACGUAGGUGACAAGCGUUAUCCGGAUUUACUGGGCGUAAAGGGCGUGUAGGCGGUCUUGCAAGUCAGAAGUGAAAUUCCUGAGCUCAACUCGGGCGCUGCUUCUGAAACUGCGAGUCUUGAGUGAUGGAGAGGCAGGCGGAAGUUCCCGGGUGGGGGUAAAAUGCAUAGAUAUUGGGAAGAACACCAGUGGCGAAGGCGGCCUGCUGGACAUUAACUGACGCUGAGGAGCGAAAGUGUGGGGAGCAAACAGGAUUAGAUACCCUGGUAGUCCACACCGUAAACGAUGGAUACUAGGUGUGCGGGGACUGACCCCCUGCGUGCCGCAGCUAACACAAUAAGUAUCCCACCUGGGGAGUACGAUCGCAAGAUUGAAACUCAAAGGAAUUGACGGGG